Molecule: long non-coding RNA, 6823 nt
Filed under: Lathyrus oleraceus (garden pea)
Lineage: Eukaryota; Viridiplantae; Streptophyta; Magnoliopsida; Fabales; Fabaceae
Description: Pisum sativum (pea) long non-coding RNA (PSAT_LNC042270)
Source: RNAcentral
AUUACAUUCAAUUUGUCCAUUAAACCAUCAUAACAAAGAGCAUUACACCAAUCAAGCCACCAAUCAAAACAUUAGAAAACCAUUCCUGAACAUGAAAUACAAUAUGACAAACCACUUGCGAGAACUCACCAAAACAUGACCUCACCAACCAUGACCAUUGACCUGCUGCAACCUCACCAUGACUUGUUGCAUCAAUACACAUCUGCCUUGAACUUACAGCCAUGCCCUACAUCCACAUAUCAUAACCUCCAGCAACAUCUAUCAAGCCUUGACACACCAUCAUCACCAUGAACAUGAUGAAACCUGGAACAUUAGCAUUCCAUACAAAAAUAUAAUACAUAUUUCAAAUAUUCAAUCCUCUAACAGUCAGUUUAACUAACAUUUCACUAACAGAGAAAUGAUAGUUCAAACUUUCAACUAAUUCUCCUUUGGUUAAUGCUAACUAAAUAAUGCAUUAAUUAACUUCAUAACUAGUUAAUGGUGUUAACUCUUCUAACAAACUUACUAAUUGAUUGAACUAACCCUAACCUCUUCCCGAACCUUCAAAAAAACUUUACCCGAGUCUGCCCCAUUAUGUUACAAGCCCCAUUAUGUUACAAGCUGCGAUCCCUAUAAAUCAAACCUCAUACAUACAUCCAAUGGGACUGAUCAUAAUACCGAAAAUCUCAGAAUCUAUGCAUCAUCUUCAACCUCUCAAAUAUAAUCACUCAGAGCACAUCCCUAGCCUUCUGCAACGUAUCACCAUUAGACCUUGAAUGAAGGUGUCCUAAAACCUCUAUAUGAUUCCAUCACUCUCUUCACAACCUCAUGAGUUCUCUCUGCAACUUCUACUCCCUCUCAAAGCACAAUCUUAGGUAUACAUUUUAGGAGAAGAAGAAGAAGGAUCUUUAGAGGAGGGAGAAUCAGAAAGAAGAAGAAGAUAAGAGCAGGAGCAUACCAGAUUUCAAGUGAUUUUCCCAUCGCUGCUUCAUCUUCUCCGAUCCAACACUUUGGCGGAGUAAUUCUCAGCUUCGGAGGUAGGUUCAUCUUCAUGAUUCUAUUGCAAUUAGGUUAUCAUGUUGUAGCUUGCAUCAUGGCGAUUUAAAUCCCUAACAAUUAUGGCUCUGAAUCUUGUCCUUCGCUGUGUAAUUAAUGGUUGAACUCCUAGGGUUCUUGAAUUCUUUUGUCCGAUUUUGAGGAUAGAUUCAGAUUUGGUUGAAAUUCAAGGAAGAUUUGGAUUGGGGAGGUAGAAACAGAUUCUUUGCUGUAUCUGAUGGUUGUUUAUGGUGGCCACCGCGCCUGAGGCAAUUCCCGGUGCUAUUUAGUUUUUGUUCAUUUUUGUUGUUUAUUUGUUUUUGUUCAUUUUUGUUGUUUAUUUGUUUAAUUUUAAUUGUUUUUAAUUAGGCCAUUUAGAGUUUUUAGGAUUAGUUUAAUUAGUUUAGUUAGAUUUUUAGGACUAAUUAGAUUCAAGAUGUUAAUUAGAAUUUUAGUGAGUAAUUAGGACCUUUAGGUAAUUAGCUUAGAACCUUAGAAAAAUAGGAUUAAUUAGAGUAUUAAUUAACUUUUAAAAUUUAGUUAGAUUUCUAAAUAAUUAGGUUUCUUGAAUGUUAAAAUAGUAUUUUUAGAACUUUAUUAAUGUUUAGGUUGUUAGUUAGGAUGAUCAUGAUUAGGAUUUAAUUUUGUCCCUAAUUGAAUAUUCAUGUAAACUCCUUUAGACUAGGUUAACCAUCAUUCUCAAAUUAAUUCAAACCAUCCAAUUUAAGUUGAUCAAAAGCAAUUUUGAUUAGCUAAAUCCUUUGAUCAAGUAUAAUCCCACAGUCCAUUCAAGUGAUCAAAAGUCCCUUGAUCACUUGAUAAGACUAUUUCUAAUGUUGUGGAUCUCCAUGCUUCAAGUCCAGACUUUCAUGCAAGGCAUCCUAGUCAAGUUAAGCAGCGGAUUAUACAAGAUACAACAAAGCUCAACACUUGGUAAUUAUGAUUCAAAUUGUAUGCCACGAGCCUUAAGUAAUGAGGAAUGAUGAAACAUAUUUUCUCCUACCCUUGUCUACUGUGACUUUGUGUACGAGGCAUAAGCCUUAGCUAUUCAAAGCAUUUGUCUUCAUUCAUAGACAUUAAUACAAUAUGAAUAGAAUAAAUUGCCAUGUUUUCUUCUCUAAAGCAACAUCAACCCAAGGAGCAGCAAGGAGGAUUCUUCCCUAACAACUUGUUAGUUAUGAUAAAUAUCACAUGCCAUGAGCCUUAUGUAAUGAGGAAUUAUGAGACAAAGUUUCUCCUACCCUUGUCUAGAGUGACUUUGCAUAUGGGGCAUAGGCGCUAGCUAUUCGAAGCAUUCACCUUCAUUCAUAGACUUUAGUGUGAUUCGUAUCAAAUGAUUUUCAAACACUCUCCAUAUUUCAUCAUCAAUCAUUUCUCUUGCCUUCUCUUGAUGUCAGCCCUAGUGGGCUGAACUACGAAAGCUCUGACUUUCUCAUUGCACGGUGAGAAUACGUAGGCAGGAGGAUUCAGAUUCUUCGCGCGCUACCCUAUUUAUUAAUUUUAUUAAUUUCUCCAUUCAAUCAAUACCAUCUUUUUGAGAUCAAAAUCACUUUUUCUUGGACUCUAUGUACAUCCUUUUAGGACGAUAUAGCGAUAGUUCACCUUGUGAACCAAGAGUUGUUUGGCUCAUACCCAUACAUUUUAUUCUUUUUUUUUUGGCUAAGACUCUUUUUUACUCUUCGAUUUAGAGUUUAUUCCUUCAUGGAUCUAAUAAAUUAUUCUUCUUUGAUUUCAAAAUGAAUGUUCCCCAACAAGUGAUAUAUUGUUCCUUGUACCGACAAUACUUUCCUGUGGACCCCAUAUACCCUUUUAGGAUGAUAUAUCGACAAUCUACCUUAUGAACCAAGAGUUGUUUGACUCGUAACCAAACAUUUAAUUCCUUCUUUUUUGGAUAUGACACAUGUUUACUCUUCGGUUCAAAGUUCAUUUUCCUUUGUGGGUUCCCAUGUUACCAUUCUGUUGGUGCAAGUUAUACUUUUCAUCACUAUCAAUCUCUCUCUUUGUUCUCAUGGUUCCAUGAAUUAGGAAUGCUCUUACUUUCUCAUUGAAUGAUGAUAAUACGUAGGCACGAGGACGCAAAUCCUUGGAGAGCACAAUCCUAAUUAUUCCUUUUGCCUUAGGGCACCAUUCAUAUCUUCCAUUAUCCACGAUCUACCUUCAAUCCUUAAACUGAUCACCCCAGUGACAUACUGUUUCUUUGAAACCAGAUACAAUUUUCUUUGGAAUACCAUAUAUACCAUUUUAGGACGAUAUAACGGCAAUCCACAUUUGUACCUAUAGUUAUUUGGCUUGUACCCAAACACUUUAUUCCUUUUUUUUGUUGCUAAAACGCCAUUUCCCUCUACGAUACAAAUUCCAUUUCUCCAAUGGAUUCCAAUAUACCCUGACCUUUGGUUCCAAAUUACACCUCUUCAGUCACUCCAUGUGAUAUACCUUAUCUUUGAGCCAAACACACUAUCACUUUGAGCUCCAUCUUGUGUCACCUUGUGAACCAAUAGAUGUUUGUCUCGUAUACAAACACUUAAUUCUCUUUGUUUUUGGCUAUACCAUAUAUAGUGGUGAACGCUUCUGGCUACCCACAUCUUAGUCAACGCCUAUUUUACUCUUGAGUUUAGAUUCCAUCCCUUGUUGGAGUUCAAAACACAUUAUCCUUUGGUUCAGACCAUACCUUUAUCGCAACUUCUUUUCACCUCCCGCCAUUAGUUCUAUGAGCUACGGAGCUCUGAAUUCCUUAUUGAGCUAUAAGGAUACGUAGGCACGAGGACCACAAUCCUCACCGAGAACUUUAUCUAUUUCUUUUCCAUCCUUUUUUAUUUCGCGAGUAACCUUUAGAUAGAACACCCAUUUGAGCAAGAACGAUCAAAACGGUUCCCAUGGAGUACCAUGGAUGUUAGGGGUGCUAAUAUCCUCCCCUUGCAUAACCGACUUUCUUACCCAGAUAUCUUUUUCCCCCGGGUUUUAUCGAUGUUUUCCCUUUCCUUCGGGAAUAAAUCAAGUUUGAUGGCGGCUCUGUUGUAUGUUCGAGCGUGUGAUGCGUUCGGGUAUAUUUUCGCUAGCUUCACAAAUAUGUUGCUCUAUUUAUAGGGAAGUGAUUGGUAAUCUCAUUGUGCCAAAGAUGCUCAAUUCAUGCUCAUGAAUUUGCUCAGGAGGCUUUUUGAUCCCAUUCUUCUUGCAAUUUGUUGACAUCAUAUCAAGUAUCAUAAUAUGCCAAUAAAGGUUGCAUUUGGAUGCUUGAUCAUAAAGUUAUGACAUGUUGAAGUUGGCACAAAAAUAUGGUAAUGCAACUUGGAAAAUUCUAAGUCCCAAAUGGCUGAAAAUGACCUAUAAUGUGUCAAAGAAUUCAAUGGCCUUCCAAGCAUAUUUUGACUUUGAUCCUUGAAGAAAACUUGUAGAUAUAGUUACAAAUGAUAUUGUGCAAAAAUAAUCAGCCUCAAUAUUGAAAGUUGAAGAAAUUAUGAACCUUGAAAGUUGAGAAAAAGUCACUUGAAAAUAGGUCAAUUUUUUUCACGAAGUCCAUAAAUGACCUAUAAUGUCUUCAAACGUUCAAUGAUCCUCCAAGCAUAAUUGGCUCUUAUCAUGUAAAUAUAAGUUGUAGGGGAUAUUUAGAAGAGUCAUAUGCAAAAAUAAGCAUUCAAAAAUAUGGAUAAUUGAAGGAGUUGUGAGCCUUUGAACUUUGACUUCAAAUGUUGACUUUUUGGUCAAACCUCUUAGAAAUAAUUAAUGUACUUAGACUUUUCUUGCAUUUCAAGGUACAUGGAUGAUCAUAUGAAAUGAAAAUAAUGUGUCCUUAAAUUAUUUUGAUUAAAUUGCUUAAAUCUUGAGGUAACUUGUUGAAGAAGACAUGGAAAUGAACACACGGACCUUUGACUUUUCUUGAGAAAUAAGCAACAAAACUUUGAGAUACUCUUGAUCAAGAUGAGGUUGAAAGAUGCUUGAGAACCUUAAAUAUCAUGUUUUGAGAGUUAAUCCCCUUGAGAAUCAAUGGUUGAACAUACUUUUACUUGAGGAAUCAACCCAAAUCCUAUAUGAGGAACCAUGCUUAAUGCUCUUGAUGAAAAGCCCUACCUUGCACAAUAAACUUAAAGUAAACAAAACAUAUUUUUUGCUAUUUUGAUUAGUGGUUAGAUAAGAAAUGAACAUAUAAACAUAAAUAUAAAAAACUAACAAAGAGGUGCCUGAUGAUCCCUACAAAAGGAAAACCCAGAGAUGAGAGGGAGAAGACACAAGUAUGAUCUUGUUUGUAUGAAAGGAUCCAAAUGAUAUGUGGGAUCUUAGGGUUAAAAAUUAGGGUAUGAUAGAUGCCCUUAUUUAAGUUUCUUCAAUUCAGAGAUAUGAAGAUUGAAAUCUUCGUCUCGACGAGAUGGAAGAGACUUAAAUACAGAAGACCCAAUUUUUGGUCCUAAGAUACCGCAAAAAUGGUCAUGAUAUGAUUGAAUGCAGACAAGGAUCUCUUUGAGGAAUAUAGCGCCACGAAAGACAAAUGACUACUAGAGAAACAAGGAGACUGAAAUUCUCUAGGGGAAUAAUAGAUUCUAAAGGGGAUAACCAACUGGGGACAAACAAAGUUCCAUAGAUGAAAGGGAAAGACUCGCAGACAACUACGACACGAAAUUGUUGGAGACAAAGGGAUGCUCUCCAGGAAAAUUAAUUACUGGGAAGCGACUAGACUCGAGAAUAACUAUUGUAUUAGAAAGCAACCAAUGCAUAGUUAUAAAACAAACGACCCAAAGACCCAACAGGGGAAGACUUAUCAAAGCAAGACUCUGACGGGGAAAAAAUCAAUCAAAGGGGAUACUCAACUCCACUAGGGGUAGAAAUUACCUAACUAUCAGCCAAGUGAUAACUUAACAAAGAUAAUAAGCUCAAAAGGAAAGAUUACCAACUACCAGCCAAGUGAUAGCUUAACAAGGUAACCAACCAAAGGUAAAAAGAAAUAUUACCUAACUAUCAGUCAAGUGAUAUCUUAACAAAGGUAAUAAGCCCAAAAGGAAAGAUUACCAACUACUAGCCAAGUGGUAGCUUAACAAGGUAACCAACCGAAGGUAUAAAACGAAUAUUACCUAACUAUCAACCGAGUGAUAUCUUAACAAAAGUAAUAAGCACAAAAGAAAAGAUUACCAACUACCAGCUAAGUGAUACCUUAACAAGGUAACCAACCGAAGGUAAAAAAGGAAUAUUACCUAACUAUCAUCCAAGUGAUAACUUAACAAAGGUAAUAAGCCCAAAAGGAAAGAUUACCAACUACCAGCCUAGUGAUAGCUUAACAAGGUAACCAACAAAAGGUAAAAAUAAAUAUUACCUAACCAUCAGCCAAGUGAUAGUUUAACAAAGGUAAUAAGCCCAAAAGGAAAGAUUGCCAACUACCAGCCAAGUGAUAGCUUAACAAGGUAACCAACCAAAGGUAAAAAAAGAAUAUCACUGAUCAGUGCAUUUUGAUGCACGUUCUUUCAUGUUUGUACUUAAGCAUUUCUUCAGUUUGCUUUGAUUAUUUUUAUGUUUUAAUGUGUUUUCAUAAUUUAUGUUAUUUUUGCACUUAUUUAAUUUUCGUAUUUAAUUUUCAGCAUUAGCAGCUUUCGCGAGAAAAAUCAUAUCUUGAGCUAGGAGUAUCGGAUUGAGACGUGCUACAUGUCGAUGGAAAGCUAAGAAAAAGAUCUACAAUGUUUGUUCAGAAGUCGAGAGCUGAAUCAGACUGUAACAGGGCCAGAAAAUUCAUUGAAGUUGCAGCAUUAGUUUUAUUUAAGUUUAGGGUCAUUAGUUUUGGGCUUGAGUUAUGUUUUCGAUCCAGUUGGGUUUAAACCAAAUUCCUUGU